GAGGAAAGAAACCAACAGGGAUUGCCCCAGUAACGGCGAGUGAAGCGGCAACAGCUCAAAUUUGAAAUCUGGCUCUCGGGCCCGAGUUGUAAUUUGUAGAGGAUGCUUUUGGUGAGGUGCCUUCCGAGUUCCCUGGAACGGGACGCCAUAGAGGGUGAGAGCCCCGUCUGGUUGGACGCCGAACCUCUGUAAAGCUCCUUCGACGAGUCGAGUAGUUUGGGAAUGCUGCUCUAAAUGGGAGGUAUAUGUCUUCUAAAGCUAAAUACCGGCCAGAGACCGAUAGCGCACAAGUAGAGUGAUCGAAAGAUGAAAAGAACUUUGAAAAGAGAGUUAAACAGUACGUGAAAUUGUUGAAAGGGAAGCGCUUGUGACCAGACUUGGGCUUGGUUGAUCAUCCGGGGUUCUCCCCGGUGCACUCUUCCGGCCCAGGCCAGCAUCAGUUCGCCCUGGGGGACAAAGGCAUCGGGAACGUGGCUCUCUCCGGGGAGUGUUAUAGCCCGUUGCGUAAUACCCUGCGGCGGACUGAGGUUCGCGCAUUCGCAAGGAUGCUGGCGUAAUGGUCAUCAGUGACCCGUCUUGAAACACGGACCAAGGAGUCGUCUUCGUAUGCGAGUGUUCGGGUGUCAAACCCCUACGCGAAAUGAAAGUGAACGCAGGUGAGAGCUUCGGCGCAUCAUCGACCGAUCCUGAUGUUAUCGGAUGGAUUUGAGUAAGAGCAUACGGGGCCGGACCCGAAAGAAGGUGAACUAUGCCUGUGUAGGGUGAAGCCAGAGGAAACUCCUGGUGGAGGCUCGCAGCGGGUUCUGACGUGCAAAUCGAUCGUCAACAUGGGCAUGGGGGGCGAAAGACUAAUCGAACUCUAAA
Molecule: ribosomal RNA, 864 nt
Filed under: Fusarium mori
Lineage: Eukaryota; Fungi; Ascomycota; Sordariomycetes; Hypocreales; Nectriaceae
Description: partial large subunit ribosomal RNA
Rfam family: Eukaryotic large subunit ribosomal RNA
Source: RNAcentral